This 253-nucleotide ribosomal RNA is filed under the name uncultured bacterium. Its description in RNAcentral is "partial 16S ribosomal RNA". It matches the Rfam family "Bacterial small subunit ribosomal RNA", at positions 524 to 776 of the family's 1533-position model. The record is from RNAcentral.
UACGUAGGGGGCAAGCGUUGUCCGGAUUUAUUGGGCGUAAAGAGCGUGUAGGCGGCCAGGUAGGUCCGUUGUGAAAACUCGAGGCUCAACCUCGAGACGCCGAUGGAAACCAUCUGGCUAGAGUCCGGAAGAGGAGAGUGGAAUUCCCGGUGUAGCGGUGAAAUGCGCAGAUAUCGGGAAGAACACCCGUGGCUAAGGCGGCUCUCUAGUACGGUACAGACGCUGAGACGCGAAAGCGUGGGGAGCGAACAGG